AUAACUAAGCGGAGGAAAAGAAACCAACCGGGAUUCCCCCAGUAACGGCGAGUGAAGCGGGAACAGCCCAGCGCCGAAUCCGCCGUGGCGUCCAGCCCGGCCGGAACUGUGGUGUGAGGGACGCGGCCAGCCGGCAGGAAGAACGCCUGAGUCCCCCCGAGCGGGGCCCAUCC
RNAcentral lists this ribosomal RNA (173 nucleotides) under Apata pricei komandorica. RNAcentral's name for it is "partial large subunit ribosomal RNA". It matches the Rfam family "Eukaryotic large subunit ribosomal RNA", at positions 42 to 207 of the family's 3401-position model. The record is from RNAcentral. Lineage: Eukaryota; Metazoa; Mollusca; Gastropoda; Nudibranchia; Apataidae.